GGUGGGGUGUCUGAGUGGCCGAAAGAGACGGUCUUGAAAACCGUUGUACCUUUGCGGGUACCGUGGGUUCGAAUCCCACCCCCUCCGCCA
RNAcentral lists this transfer RNA (90 nucleotides) under Gemmatimonadota bacterium. RNAcentral's name for it is "Gemmatimonadetes bacterium tRNA-Ser". It matches the Rfam family "tRNA". From Rfam's summary of the family: Transfer RNA (tRNA) molecules are approximately 80 nucleotides in length. Their secondary structure includes four short double-helical elements and three loops (D, anti-codon, and T loops). Lineage: Bacteria; Pseudomonadati; Gemmatimonadota. The record is from RNAcentral.